CAGUGGAUCUUCCUGACCCAGGAAUCGAACCAGGGUCUCCUGCAUUGCAAGCAUAUUCUUUACCAGCUGAGCUACUAGGGAAGCCCAUGAAAGAAGGACCUCCACAGUUCUGGCGUAUUUGGGACAAAACAAUUUCCAGGCUGUUUCACUGACUUUGUGAACCACUGCCACCCUCUUUGGAAGUCAACCAACAACAGUAAGCCUAGCAGUUGAGCGUGUAGGUUUUGGCAUCAUGCAGACCUGAUAUUGACCAUGUCUCAGCUACUCAGUGCUGCUGCAUGAUAUAUCCAUCCAGACAUACAUGUCCAUAACUCUUUGAGGACCCUCUGAAGAAUGCACUCUCACAAUAGCAGCAUUUGAGGCCAAUGUAGACUUGAGAUUCCACAGUAGAAAUCAAGAAGGAAUCCGUAUCAUGCCACCCAAAGUAAUCAAUGUUAGUAUCUCUGACAUUUAUCGUCUCCCAAAUCUCUUNNNNNNNNNNNNNNNNNNNNNNNNNNNNNNNNNNNNNNNNNNNNNNNAGCAUCACUGACUCCAUUCUUGUCAACCCUAUCCCUACUUAUUUUCUCUUCUGUCUUGCUACACUGCUGAGUCCCCUCCAGAUCUCCAGUUUAGCAACAUAAAAACUGCACCAGGUAACAGGACCUUUGGAGAAGGCAAGUGGGGUUAUAUGGUAUUAGUUGCAAGAAGCAGAGGGAAUUAUUUAUGUCUCAAGGACUUCUCCUUCAUCGGUAUUUCUUUCUGGGUUUCCACUUCAUUCCUCGAGAAAGAAGCGCAUGGGAGCACCAUUUCCUGCUUCUCUCUGCUCCCUGGUCCGCUUCUCUUCAAGUGUGAAGGAAUAACUUUUCUAAACAAAGACACUAAGCAAACAAACACAAUAGGUCUACGUGGCAGCCCUGGAGGGGUGCCGCUCAGAUCCGCCUUCAAGAAAGAACUUGCCAGUGAGUGGCAACAAGUCAAGUUAGUUGACAGCCUCCAGAUUUUGAAAACCAUGUUCUUCUCCUUGGGCAGCCCCAACCCAUAACUAAACACAGUGGGAGUGCCAAGGCCUGGCCAUUUCUGCCUAAGGUGGUACCCCUUUAAGAGACAAGGUGUGCUUUGGAGGUCCCCAUGGGUUAGCAGGGGCUUUGUCAAAUGUGCAUUGAGAUCCCAGGCUCUCCUGCCCUAUUGUGCUUUCUUCCUUUUUCAUCUUUCAAAACUUAAACUCUCAACAAAAUUUUUGCACUCCUGGGUCUCAGAGUCUGCCUCUCAGAAGACCCCGCUUUACCCCUGCCCCAUCCCUCCUUCCCUCCUGUUUCUCUGUGUCUCUCUGUCUGUGUCUCUCUGUGUGUCUGUCUCUGUGUCUCUCUGUGUGUAUGUGUGUCUCUCUUUCUGUGUAUCUCUGUGUGUGU
This 1388-nucleotide long non-coding RNA is filed under the name Capra hircus (goat). Its description in RNAcentral is "lncRNA (ENSCHIG00010025508.1)". The record is from RNAcentral. Lineage: Eukaryota; Metazoa; Chordata; Mammalia; Artiodactyla; Bovidae.